Molecule: ribosomal RNA, 1343 nt
Filed under: uncultured bacterium
Lineage: Bacteria
Description: 16S ribosomal RNA
Rfam family: Bacterial small subunit ribosomal RNA
Source: RNAcentral
GACGAACGCUGGCGGCGUGCUUAACACAUGCAAGUCGAACGGAAAGGCCCUGCUUUUGUGGGGUGCUCGAGUGGCGAACGGGUGAGUAACACGUGAGUAACCUGCCCUUGACUUUGGGAUAACUCCAGGAAACUGGGGCUAAUACCGGAUAGGAGCUCCUGCUGCAUGGUGGGGGUUGGAAAGUUUCGGCGGUUGGGGAUGGACUCGCGGCUUAUCAGCUUGUUGGUGGGGUAGUGGCUUACCAAGGCUUUGACGGGUAGCCGGCCUGAGAGGGUGACCGGCCACAUUGGGACUGAGAUACGGCCCAGACUCCUACGGGAGGCAGCAGUGGGGAAUAUUGCACAAUGGGCGGAAGCCUGAUGCAGCAACGCCGCGUGCGGGAUGACGGCCUUCGGGUUGUAAACCGCUUUCGCCUGUGACGAAGCGUGAGUGACGGUAAUGGGUAAAGAAGCACCGGCUAACUACGUGCCAGCAGCCGCGGUGAUACGUAGGGUGCGAGCGUUGUCCGGAUUUAUUGGGCGUAAAGGGCUCGUAGGUGGUUGAUCGCGUCGGAAGUGUAAUCUUGGGGCUUAACCCUGAGCGUGCUUUCGAUACGGGUUGACUUGAGGAAGGUAGGGGAGAAUGGAAUUCCUGGUGGAGCGGUGGAAUGCGCAGAUAUCAGGAGGAACACCAGUGGCGAAGGCGGUUCUCUGGGCCUUUCCUGACGCUGAGGAGCGAAAGCGUGGGGAGCGAACAGGCUUAGAUACCCUGGUAGUCCACGCUGUAAACGGUGGGUACUAGGUGUGGGGUCCAUUCCACGGGUUCCGUGCCGUAGCUAACGCUUUAAGUACCCCGCCUGGGGAGUACGGCCGCAAGGCUAAAACUCAAAGGAAUUGACGGGGCCCCGCACAAGCGGCGGAGCAUGCGGAUUAAUUCGAUGCAACGCGUAGAACCUUACCUGGGUUUGACAUGGAUCGGGAGCGCCCAGAGAUGGGUGUGCCUCUUUUGGGGUCGGUUCACAGGUGGUGCAUGGCUGUCGUCAGCUCGUGUCGUGAGAUGUUGGGUUAAGUCCCGCAACGAGCGCAACCCUUGUUCACUGUUGCCAGCACGUUAUGGUGGGGACUCAGUGGAGACCGCCGGGGUCAACUCGGAGGAAGGUGGGGAUGACGUCAAGUCAUCAUGCCCCUUAUGUCCAGGGCUUCACGCAUGCUACAAUGGCUGGUACAGAGAGUGGCGAGCCUGUGAGGGUGAGCGAAUCUCGGAAAGCCGGUCUCAGUUCGGAUUGGGGUCUGCAACUCGACCUCAUGAAGUCGGAGUCGCUAGUAAUCGCAGAUCAGCAACGCUGCGGUGAAUACGUUCCCGGG